Molecule: long non-coding RNA, 413 nt
Filed under: Homo sapiens (human)
Lineage: Eukaryota; Metazoa; Chordata; Mammalia; Primates; Hominidae
Description: HSALNT0250764
Source: RNAcentral
UAUCAGCUGACAGUGAGGAGGGAGGGGGUUUGGAAAGAAGGGCAAUUGGUGUUACUUUCUGAAUCAGAAGAACUGCAGGAUGUGGGCUCCUGGCCAGAAAGAGCCUUGCUUCUAUCUUCAGGGCAGGAAGAUGACCACCCACAGCCCAGCAAACCCAGGAGGGAGAGAAUUUCUCUCUCCCAGGGUCUCUAGAAGAAUCCCAGGAAAGGGGUCUGACCAUACUUCAGUUUCCACAGUUAGAACCAAUCACCAUUGCCCAGAAUUUGGGUUCCACAAUUAGCCAGGCCCAAGUCAUGCACACCUCCCUUUGGCCAUGUACUGGGACUAAUAUCCAUACUCAGGAGAAAGAACCAGAGAGCCCCCAGGUACUCUCAGUUUGUCUCCAGGCUCAAAUAUUUUGUACCCUAUCAUUU